UCUGACCGAGCACGCCGCGUGAGUGAAGAAGGUUUUCGGAUCGUAAAACUCUGUUGUUAGAGAAGAACAAGGAUGAGAGUAGAACGUUCAUCCCUUGACGGUAUCUAACCAGAAAGCCACGGCUAACUACGUGCCAGCAGCCGCGGUAAUACGUAGGUGGCAAGCGUUGUCCGGAUUUAUUGGGCGUAAAGCGAGCGCAGGCGGUUUCUUAAGUCUGAUGUGAAAGCCCCCGGCUCAACCGGGGAGGGUCAUUGGAAACUGGGAGACUUGAGUGCAGAAGAGGAGAGUGGAAUUCCAUGUGUAGCGGUGAAAUGCGUAGAUAUAUGGAGGAACACCAGUGGCGAAGGCGGCUCUCUGGUCUGUAACUGACGCUGAGGCUCGAAAGCGUGGGGAGCGAACAGGAUUAGAUACCCUGGUAGUCCACGCCGUAAACGAUGAGUGCUAAGUGUUGGAGGGUUUCCGCCCUUCAGUGCUGCAGCAAACGCAUUAAGCACUCCGCCUGGGGAGUACGACCGCAAGGUUGAAACUCAAAGGAAUUGACGGGGGCCCGCACAAGCGGUGGAGCAUGUGGUUUAAUUCGAAGCAACGCGAAGAACCUUACCAGGUCUUGACAUCCUUUGACCACUCUAGAGAUAGAGCUUCCCCUUCGGGGGCAAAGUGACAGGUGGUGCAUGGUUGUCGUCAGCUCGUGUCGUGAGAUGUUGGGUUAAGUCCCGCAACGAGCGCAACCCUUAUUGUUAGUUGCCAUCAUUUAGUUGGGCACUCUAGCGAGACUGCCGGUGACAAACCGGAGGAAGGUGGGGAUGACGUCAAAUCAUCAUGCCCCUUAUGACCUGGGCUACACACGUGCUACAAUGGGAAGUACAACGAGUUGCGAAGUCGCGAGGCUAAGCUAAUCUCUUAAAGCUUCUCUCAGUUCGGAUUGUAGGCUGCAACUCGCC
Molecule: ribosomal RNA, 941 nt
Filed under: Enterococcus gallinarum
Lineage: Bacteria; Bacillati; Bacillota; Bacilli; Lactobacillales; Enterococcaceae
Description: bacterial SSU rRNA
Rfam family: Bacterial small subunit ribosomal RNA
Source: RNAcentral